This 448-nucleotide ribosomal RNA is filed under the name uncultured bacterium. RNAcentral describes it as "partial 16S ribosomal RNA". It matches the Rfam family "Bacterial small subunit ribosomal RNA", at positions 330 to 793 of the family's 1533-position model. The record is from RNAcentral.
GCCAGACUCCUACGGGAGGCAGCAGUGGGGGAUAUUGCACAAUGGGGGGAACCCUGAUGCAGCGACGCCGCGUGGGUGAAGGAGCGUUUCGGCGCGUAAAGCCCUAUCGGCAGGGAAGAAGGAGGACGGUACCUGACUAAGAAGCCCCGGCUAACUACGUGCCAGCAGCCGCGGUAAUACGUAGGGGGCAAGAGUUAUCCGGAUUUACUGGGUGUAAAGGGGGCGCAGACGGCGAUGCAAGCCAGGAGUGAAAGCCCGGGGCCCAACCCCGGGACUGCUCUUGGAACUGCGUGGCUGGAGUGCAGGAGGGGCAGGCGGAAUUCCUGGUGUAGCGGUGAAAUGCGUAGAUAUCAGGAGGAACACCGGUGGCGAAGGCGGCCUGCUGGACUGCGACUGACGUUGAGGCCCGAAAGCGUGGGGAGCAAACAGGAUUAGAUACCCGAGUACG